AACGUAGGUGGCAAGCGUUAUCCGGAUUUACUGGGCGUAAAGGGUGUGCAGGCGGGCGGUCAAGUGGUGUAUGAAAUAUCCUGGCUCAACCAGGAGAGGUUAUGCCAGACUGACCGUCUUGAGUGCGAGAGAGGGGCGUGGAAUUCCGGGUGUAGUGGUGAAAUGCGUAGAGAUCCGGAGGAACCCCAGAGGCGAAGGCGGCGCCCUGGCUCGCAACUGACGCUCAUACACGACAGCAUGGGGAGCAAACAGG
RNAcentral lists this ribosomal RNA (253 nucleotides) under uncultured bacterium. Its description in RNAcentral is "partial 16S ribosomal RNA". It matches the Rfam family "Bacterial small subunit ribosomal RNA", at positions 524 to 776 of the family's 1533-position model. The record is from RNAcentral.